RNAcentral lists this ribosomal RNA (253 nucleotides) under uncultured bacterium. Its description in RNAcentral is "partial 16S ribosomal RNA". It matches the Rfam family "Bacterial small subunit ribosomal RNA", at positions 524 to 776 of the family's 1533-position model. The record is from RNAcentral.
UACGGGGGGGGCAAGCGUUGUUCGGAAUUACUGGGCGUAAAGGGCCCGUAGGCGGCCAACUAAGUCGGAUGUGAAAUCCCCAGGCUUAACCUGGGAACUGCAUCCGAUACUGGAUGGCUUGAAUUCGGGAGAGGGAUGCAGAAGUCCAGGUGUAGCGGUGAAAUGCGUAGAUAUCUGGAGGAAUACCGGUGGCGAAGGCGGCAUCCUGGACCGACAUUGACGCUGAACGGCGAAAGCUAGGGGAGCAAACGGG